Long non-coding RNA from Aplysia californica (California sea hare), 524 nucleotides. RefSeq lists it as uncharacterized. The transcript has 2 exons. The record is from RefSeq and is a predicted model, not a curated record. NCBI's taxonomy places the organism in Eukaryota, Metazoa, Mollusca, Gastropoda, Aplysiida, Aplysiidae.
GAGCGGCGACAGUCUGGGGAAACCCUCACUCGCACCGCCUUGACUCCCUCCAAACACCAGUGGCACUCACGCGAGAAACCUUUCCCCAACAGAACAUCAUUGUCAUUCAGAGAGGGCGAGGGGGAGUGGACUCGCAUCAUUUCUUCACUCAUAAUUUUGUGUCUUCGCCUGGUGCACUGUAUUCAGAAGGAACUUGUAAUAGGUAGAAGUCACCAGGUAUAUUUUUGAUCUCAGCUAAACAUUUGGACCUGCAACUGCAAGGAAACCGGACCUCUCGCCAACUAUUCAAACCAGCUACUUUUGCCGAUACGUUACUUCCCUUGAUUGAUACAACUUUACAAGCCUUGCAAUGAUCUCAUUCAUCAAAAUUCGAUUUGGAUAGCCGAAAGGAACUGAAUAAAUGAAACCACAGGGAGAUAGUAUUAUCCUAGAAAACUAAUGACAGCCACGCAACGUAACUAAAACAGCAACAGCCUCCCCGUUCCAAUACCACCAGAAACCACGGCGCUGAUUCGACCAGGCAG